UGCCAGCCGCCGCGGUAAUACGGAGGGUGCAAGCGUUAUCCGGAAUCACUGGGUUUAAAGGGUGCGUAGGCGGCGUAAUAAGUCAGAGGUGAAAGACUGCGGCUAAACCGUAGAAUUGCCUUUGAUACUGAUGCUUGAAUGUGGUGGAGGUGAGCGGAAUGUGUCAUGUAGCGGUGAAAUGCAUAGAUAUGACAUAGAACACCAAUUGCGAAGGCAGCUCACUACGCCAUUAUUGACGCUGAGUCACGAAAGCGUGGGUAGCGAACAGGAUUAGAUA
Molecule: ribosomal RNA, 277 nt
Filed under: uncultured bacterium
Lineage: Bacteria
Description: partial 16S ribosomal RNA
Rfam family: Bacterial small subunit ribosomal RNA
Source: RNAcentral